Lycium ferocissimum is the source of this 383-nucleotide long non-coding RNA. RefSeq lists it as uncharacterized. The transcript has 2 exons. Lineage: Eukaryota; Viridiplantae; Streptophyta; Magnoliopsida; Solanales; Solanaceae. The record is from RefSeq and is a predicted model, not a curated record.
CAAAGCCAAUAUGGGAACCUCUAGGUUAGCAAAUAAAUAGAAGAUAGGGGGGGGGGUGCGGCACCCUGUGAACUUUAUUCUUCUCCUACUUUUGGAAAUGGUUAUUGAAUUCUCUCCCUUCUGGAAAGAUGAGGAAAAACUACUAGGAGUACCUGUUCGUAUAGGUUAUUGAGAGAACUAAAUAUAUAUGUAUCUGGAUUGCUGCUGCAUAAGCAUAUGGACUAAAAAUACAUUUAUUGAACUUUCAUACAUUUUUUUGUUUUUUUUUUUUUUUUUUUUUUUUCCUUUUCACUUGCAAGUAUUAGGAGCUGCUCGCAUACUUUUCUUAUAUAGUGUUGUGUCAUAUACACUACAUUGCACCUUCCAGCUUGUUAAAUUGGAAU